AGUGAACGCUGGCGGUAGGCCUAACACAUGCAAGUCGAACGGCAGCACAGUAAGAGCUUGCUCUUACGGGUGGCGAGUGGCGGACGGGUGAGGAAUACACCGGAAUCUACUUUUUCGUGGGGGAUAACGUAGGGAAACUUACGCUAAUACCGCAUACGACCUACGGGUGAAAGCAGGGGAUCUUCGGACCUUGCGCGAUUGAAUGAGCCGAUGUCGGAUUAGCUAGUUGGCGGGGUAAAGGCCCACCAAGGCGACGAUCCGUAGCUGGUCUGAGAGGAUGAUCAGCCACACUGGAACUGAGGCACGGUCCAGACUCCUACGGGAGGCAGCAGUGGGGAAUAUUGGACAAUGGGGGCAAGCCUGAUCCAGCCAUACCGCGUGGGUGAAGAAGGCCUUCGGGUUGUAAAGCCCUUUUGUUGGGAAAGAAAAGCAGCAGGUUAAUACCCCGCUGUUCUGACGGUACCCAAAGAAUAAGCACCGGCUAACUUCGUG
This 492-nucleotide ribosomal RNA is filed under the name uncultured bacterium. RNAcentral describes it as "partial 16S ribosomal RNA". It matches the Rfam family "Bacterial small subunit ribosomal RNA", at positions 29 to 507 of the family's 1533-position model. The record is from RNAcentral.